GACGAACGCUGGCGGCGUGCCUAAUACAUGCAAGUAGAACGCUGAAGAGAGGAGCUUGCUCUUCUUGGAUGAGUUGCGAACGGGUGAGUAACGCGUAGGUAACCUGCCUUGUAGCGGGGGAUAACUAUUGGAAACGAUAGCUAAUACCGCAUAACAAUGGAUAACACAUGUCAUUUAUUUGAAAGGGGCAAUUGCUCCACUACAAGAUGGACCUGCGUUGUAUUAGCUAGUAGGUGAGGUAAUGGCUCACCUAGGCGACGAUACAUAGCCGACCUGAGAGGGUGAUCGGCCACACUGGGACUGAGACACGGCCCAGACUCCUACGGGAGGCAGCAGUAGGGAAUCUUCGGCAAUGGGGGCAACCCUGACCGAGCAACGCCGCGUGAGUGAAGAAGGUUUUCGGAUCGUAAAGCUCUGUUGUAAGUCAAGAACGGGUGUGAGAGUGGAAAGUUCACACUGUGACGGUAGCUUACCAGAAAGGGACGGCUAACUACGUG
RNAcentral lists this ribosomal RNA (497 nucleotides) under uncultured bacterium. RNAcentral describes it as "partial 16S ribosomal RNA". It matches the Rfam family "Bacterial small subunit ribosomal RNA", at positions 28 to 507 of the family's 1533-position model. The record is from RNAcentral.